This 69-nucleotide transfer RNA is filed under the name Carcharias taurus (sand tiger shark). RNAcentral describes it as "tRNA-Met". It matches the Rfam family "tRNA". From Rfam's summary of the family: Transfer RNA (tRNA) molecules are approximately 80 nucleotides in length. Their secondary structure includes four short double-helical elements and three loops (D, anti-codon, and T loops). The record is from RNAcentral. Lineage: Eukaryota; Metazoa; Chordata; Chondrichthyes; Lamniformes; Carchariidae.
AGUAAAGUCAGCUAACAAAGCUCUUGGGCCCAUACCCCAACCAUGUUGGUUAAAAUCCUUCCUUUACUA